AGUGAACGCUGGCGGUAGGCCUAACACAUGCAAGUCGAAUGGCAGCACAGUAAGAGCUUGCUCUUACGGGUGGCGAGUGGCGGACGGGUGAGGAAUACAUCGGAAUCUCCUUUUUCGUGGGGGAUAACGUAGGGAAACUUACGCUAAUACCGCAUACGACCUACGGGUGAAAGCAGGGGAUCUUCGGACCUUGCGCGAUUGAAUGAGCCGAUGUCGGAUUAGCUAGUUGGCGGGGUAAAGGCCCACCAAGGCGACGAUCCGUAGCUGGUCUGAGAGGAUGAUCAGCCACACUGGAACUGAGACACGGUCCAGACUCCUACGGGAGGCAGCAGUGGGGAAUAUUGGACAAUGGGCGCAAGCCUGAUCCAGCCAUACCGCGUGGGUGAAGAAGGCCUUCGGGUUGUAAAGCCCUUUUGUUGGGAAAGAAAAGCAGCAGGUUAAUACCCCGCUGUUCUGACGGUACCCAAAGAAUAAGCACCGGCUAACUUCGUG
This 492-nucleotide ribosomal RNA is filed under the name uncultured bacterium. RNAcentral describes it as "partial 16S ribosomal RNA". It matches the Rfam family "Bacterial small subunit ribosomal RNA", at positions 29 to 507 of the family's 1533-position model. The record is from RNAcentral.